Molecule: non-coding RNA, 30 nt
Filed under: Mus musculus (house mouse)
Lineage: Eukaryota; Metazoa; Chordata; Mammalia; Rodentia; Muridae
Source: RNAcentral
UUGGUCAUUUAUUACAUAUGCACCUAUGCC